RNAcentral lists this ribosomal RNA (253 nucleotides) under uncultured bacterium. RNAcentral describes it as "partial 16S ribosomal RNA". It matches the Rfam family "Bacterial small subunit ribosomal RNA", at positions 524 to 776 of the family's 1533-position model. The record is from RNAcentral.
UACGGAGGGUGCGAGCGUUGUCCGGAAUCAUUGGGCGUAAAGGGCGCGUAGGUGGCGCGGCAAGCGUGCGGUGAAAGCUCGGGGCUCAACCCCGAGUCGGCCGUGCGAACUGCCGCGCUCGAGCACUGUAGAGGCAGGCGGAAUUCCGGGUGUAGCGGUGGAAUGCGUAGAGAUCCGGAAGAACACCGGUGGCGAAGGCGGCCUGCUGGGCAGUGGCUGACACUGAGGCGCGACAGCGUGGGGAGCGAACAGG